RNAcentral lists this long non-coding RNA (1002 nucleotides) under Oryza sativa tropical japonica subgroup. RNAcentral's name for it is "lncRNA OsKeNa_08g0002350". The record is from RNAcentral. Lineage: Eukaryota; Viridiplantae; Streptophyta; Magnoliopsida; Poales; Poaceae.
ACUACUCUCUUGGAGAGAGAGAGAGGGAGAGAGUGGGGCCACUCCCUCCCAUUCCAAGUCUCCCCGAGGCGAGGCAAAGGCAAGGCAAACCCACCGACCAAAGCCACCGCCGCACCCCAUCCACAAAACCCUCGCCGGCGGCCGGGUGGUACGCCGCCGGCGAUCACCGGCGGCCACUCCACUCCACUGCCACGGGCAUCGCGCCGCGGCCUCACCGGCUCACCCUGCCUCGCGCCGCGGCCGCCGUUGGCUAGCCGGCUAAUUGAGCCUGCUGCUCCUCGCGGCGGGGGGCGGCGAGCCAUGCGGCGGCGCUCAGCUCCACCGCCGCGCCGCGCGGGCGCGGCAUCCACAGCACCCGCAUGCUUUUUGGCGCAGGGGGGUGUCAAUUGAAUUUCAUGGUAGCCAUAGACUUCACAGCUUCAAAUGGGAAUCCCAUGGCUUCCAGAUUCCUUGCAUUACAUCGAACCCACUGGUCGGCCAAAUGGCAGUACUGGAAACAGAGAUGCACUACAAUGCUAUGACUCUGCUAAGCGAUUCCCCUUAUGGGGGCUUUGGAGCUAGACCUAUUGAUGUCCUGUUUCCUAUUUCCACUGUUUCAACCUGAAUGGCAGCAUCUAUCAACCUGAGGGUGGUGCGAUGACUGAUUUGCAAGAGACUAUUGAUACAAUCAUAAAGGCAUCUGAUUUUCCUUCGUCCAUUCUUGUUGCUGGAGUUGGUGGAGCGGACGGAAAUGGAGAUAAUGGGACUGGAAAGUUGCUUGCAAUCAUAUGAUUGAUCUACUUAUUUCUUAUCAGAGCUAAAAUUGAACCGCUUGACUAGGUCUUGCUCACUGCCUUAGAUGUUACAACAAAUACUGAUAACCUUAUAUUUCCCAGAUUGGAAAGAUUGAGGAGGGAAUGACUACCAAUAUGCGAGUCAUGAACAGUGUAUGAUUUUUCUUAUUUGCACAGUAGUAUUUCAUCAGUAUAUCAUGUUCCAUGACCCAUCGCAGCAUGAAUAAAG